Long non-coding RNA from Helianthus annuus (common sunflower), 1675 nucleotides. RefSeq lists it as uncharacterized. Lineage: Eukaryota; Viridiplantae; Streptophyta; Magnoliopsida; Asterales; Asteraceae. The transcript has 4 exons. The record is from RefSeq and is a predicted model, not a curated record.
AGAACAGUUCAAGUUACCAGGUUUAUCAUGACUGGCAUCUGUCGGUCUUCCAUCCUACCACUCUUUCAUCCUACCACUGAAAACACACAGCCCCAUCUUCUUCGUUUUCUUCUUCUUUCUGCUCACUUACUUUGCUUGCUCUAUGAAUGUAUUCACCUACUCCUUCUGUCUGAGAAGGGAGAAGAUUGGUUCAGUAGAGUGAGAGGAGAGAUAAUCAAAGCGACAGAAAGAGAGACAGCCUGAACGGAAGGGGAACCAACGAUCGCCUACGGUGGGCCACAACGUUGAUGUCCUCCUGUUCCUCCUUCUUCAGUCCGUUAAGAAACGUCGCUCCCUUCAAUUUCGAUUCCGGCGAACCGUCCAUCGGAAUCCAUGCUUGAUGCUUGACGUCUGAAAUUACAGCUCUGUUAUGUUUCAGCAACUAGGGCUCGAAUUUUAAUUACUUUUGGGUAAAUCUUUACAAUUUGAGGUAUGGCGUUUAUGUUUUCAGAUUGCAUGUACAAAUUGACAUGCACUUUGGGUCUCACUUGGGUUGAUUGUAGAUUCCGCUGUUCUCUUUGCUUUUCAUCAAAGAUAAAUGACUUGGACCCAGUAAAAGAGAUUUCCAUGGAGUACAUCAAUUAGCCAAAAUUUGGAGGUUUUUUAUGGUUCUGCCAUUAUGCGUUUUUGGUGCAGUAGAGAGAGGGGACCAGAGAAUAGGUUAUAGAGAGACAAAAGAAAAAUAGAGAGAGAGCGUGAACUCGGUGACCAUCUUCGUCUUCUGCUCCCUGUUCCAGCUGCGAUGGGUCUGGUUGAUACCAAAGGUUAACGUUGACGAUGAACUCAACGGAAGAGACCAUGAUGUUAGCGAGGUUAUCGGUAGUGCCUAGGGUUCCAGGAGAACUCCGACGAGUCAAAUCUCCCGUUUUGGUGUAGCUUGGCAAACACUAAGGUGUACCGACAUUGUGUGGUUUAGGUCUUUAGCUGGUGGUUGAUGUUGGGUUUUUGUUGGUCGGCGAGUAAAGCAGCUAGAGGUGGUUCCGACAAGUGGGAUUGUGACAAUUGAUGGGUUUUUGCAGCUGUAACUCCAACAGCCGGACAAUGGUCACGAGAGAGUAAAGAGAGACCCUUUCGAUUUCAAUUUCAAUUUCCAAGUUUAAGGUCUUUUCUCCUCAAAAACUUCUGGUGAGUGAAGGUUUUUGGCGCGCAUUUUGAUUAUGGCUUGUGUUUCAUUAUGGCAUUGAUUAAGGCUGUGAGGAGUGGUGCGGCUUGGGUUGGCGGCUUUGCUCGACACUUGGCGAUAGUGGGGUCCACCGGACCACCCCAAAAAAGUGUGGUGUGGAAGCGUCGUGGGUUAGCGGCGUUGGGGAACCCACUUAAAUAUUGCUAACGGUAAAAAAUUGAAGGUCCAAUCCUGGCUAGCCAGCUCACCCCACCCCCCGCCAGGCACCAUAGCGACGCUGGUUGGGCAACGCUGGCACGGAGUGGCUUAGCCAGCGUUGGCAGGCUUCCCCCGCCCAACCAACGCCACCACUCCCGCGGUCUAAUUGUGCUUCUUAGUUUUUUGAUUAUGGUUUGUACUUGAUUAUGGCAUUGCGUAGUUGUUCAAUUUCACCAUAAAAUCCAUGUAUAGGUGUACUAAAAAAAAUACUCGAUUUAAAUGGAUAAAUGCAAAUCUUCGAUAUUAUGCAUUGAA